GAUUUCUGGCUUGAUACACUUGGCCGGCCACGGUUUCGUGUGCUUGUGCUUUGUGUUCUGGCCAUCCUUCCAAUUGCUAUCUACCUUUCUUCAUUGAUUGGUAGGUGGUAUUGGAUCUUUUACUUUGAAAAAAUUAGAGUGUUUCAAGCAGGCUUUAUGCUAUGAAUACAUUAGCAUGGAAUAAUAAUUUAGGACUUCGGUUCUAUUUUGUUGGUUUCUAGGACUGAAGUAAUGAUUGAUAGGGAUAGUUGGGGGUGCUAGUAUUCAGCGGCCAGAGGUGAAAUUCUCGGAUUCGCUGAAGACUAACUUAUGCGAAAGCAUU
Molecule: ribosomal RNA, 322 nt
Filed under: Sandonidae sp.
Lineage: Eukaryota; Cercozoa; Glissomonadida; Sandonidae
Also listed under: 2 other names
Description: SSU rRNA
Rfam family: Eukaryotic small subunit ribosomal RNA (bases 112-322)
Source: RNAcentral